AAAGGGAGACCUAAUUCAGGUAGGAGACGAAAAAAAGUAGUCCCUACCAAGAAUCAACCCCAAAAGGUCGGAGCGAGGCAAAAUUGGCUUUCAAACUAGGUUCUGGGUUCACAUAAGACCUGAAUCAGGAACAAGGGCUAUUAGCUCAGGUGGUUAGAGCGCACCCCUGAUAAGGGUGAGGUCCCUGGUUCGAGUCCAGGAUGGCCCACCUGCACAGGUGGCAAAAACAAAGAAAAGAAGCGAGGAAUCAGCACCUUAUCUUACUUAUAUAGUAAGAGAGAAUGCUGGCUCUGAGUACAGAGUCCAGAGGAACCUUGAAAACUGCAUAGAGCUAGGUGAAAAAGCCAAAAAAGAAGACCGCAAG
This 364-nucleotide transfer RNA is filed under the name uncultured Microcystis sp. RNAcentral's name for it is "partial 16S-23S ribosomal RNA intergenic spacer". The stretch from base 135 to 208 matches the Rfam family "tRNA". Lineage: Bacteria; Bacillati; Cyanobacteriota; Cyanophyceae; Chroococcales; Microcystaceae. The record is from RNAcentral.